UUACACAGUACCGAUAUUGUGA
RNAcentral lists this microRNA (22 nucleotides) under Nematostella vectensis (starlet sea anemone). RNAcentral describes it as "nve-miR-2024a-3p". Lineage: Eukaryota; Metazoa; Cnidaria; Anthozoa; Actiniaria; Edwardsiidae. The record is from miRBase by way of RNAcentral.